This 72-nucleotide transfer RNA is filed under the name Camelus bactrianus (Bactrian camel). It matches the Rfam family "tRNA". From Rfam's summary of the family: Transfer RNA (tRNA) molecules are approximately 80 nucleotides in length. Their secondary structure includes four short double-helical elements and three loops (D, anti-codon, and T loops). Further hydrogen bonds mediate the characteristic L-shaped molecular structure. tRNAs have two regions of fundamental functional importance: the anti-codon, which is responsible for specific mRNA codon recognition, and the 3' end, to which the tRNAs corresponding amino acid is attached (by aminoacyl-tRNA synthetases). tRNAs cope with the degeneracy of the genetic code in two manners: having more than one tRNA (with a specific anti-codon) for a particular amino acid; and 'wobble' base-pairing, i.e. permitting non-standard base-pairing at the 3rd anti-codon position. Lineage: Eukaryota; Metazoa; Chordata; Mammalia; Artiodactyla; Camelidae. RNAcentral also lists the same sequence under 2 other names. The record is from Rfam by way of RNAcentral.
GGAGGGAGAGCUCAGUGGUAGAGCACAUACUUAGAAUGCACAAGGUCCUGGGUUCAAUCCCCGGCACCUCCU